AUGGACUUAUUACUGCCACUAAUAUCACUUAUUUUGAUUGCUGGAGGAGACAGUCAGCAUGCGAGGUUCAUUGAUGCUGCCAUGACGACAUCACCAAACUCGCGAUCGUUAACGCUGACGAAGAACUGGGAGGCAGUGCUUCCCAAAACUCCAAUGCCCCCAGCUAUCAGCGACUUGAUAGCCCAACAAGAUGAUGACAUUACUAUUGGAUCCAAUGACCUCAAGUUUGUCAAAGGACUGCGGAAAAUUAGACCAGGAUAUGGAAGAGGCAAACUAGAAGAUGAUAAUGGAGAUAAACAUGUUCAUAUUGCAUCUGAAGUUGAAUAUGGUUUAAAGGAGCUAUCUGAGUCAGAACAUGAAGGGGAUCCAAAAAGACUUACAAUGUCAUAUGAGCCAGAACUUGAAGAGGGUCCAGAUAAACUUACAAUGUCAUAUGGGUCACAACAUGAAGAGGAUCCAGAAAAACUUACAAUGUCAUAUGGGUCACAAUAUGAAGAAGAUCCUGAUAAACUUACAAUGUCAUAUGGGUCAGAACAUGAAGAUGACCGAGAAAAGGUUACAAUGUCUUAUGGGUCAGAACAUUGA
RNAcentral lists this ribosomal RNA (585 nucleotides) under Triticum aestivum (bread wheat). RNAcentral describes it as "partial small subunit ribosomal RNA". The record is from RNAcentral. Lineage: Eukaryota; Viridiplantae; Streptophyta; Magnoliopsida; Poales; Poaceae.